This 139-nucleotide small nucleolar RNA is filed under the name Penicillium subrubescens. Its description in RNAcentral is "A. fumigatus snoRNA Afu_198". It matches the Rfam family "A. fumigatus snoRNA Afu_198". Lineage: Eukaryota; Fungi; Ascomycota; Eurotiomycetes; Eurotiales; Aspergillaceae. The record is from Rfam by way of RNAcentral.
CCGAAAAGCUUCAAAUGAUGAGACCUUGCAAUGAACCGAAUUUUUAGGAAGAGCCGGAAGAGGUAUGACAAAUAGGGCCCAAAAGAGGAUUCCGUUUGUCGUCGAUGCUUAUAAUGGUUCUGCUGAAGGAGUUUUUGAG